UACGUAGGGUGCAGGCGUUAAUCGGAAUUACUGGGCGUAAAGCGUGCGCAGGCGGUUGUGCAAGACCGAUGUGAAAUCCCCGGGCUUAACCUGGGAAUGGCAUUGGUGACUGCACGGCUAGAGUGUGUCAGAGGGGGUAGAAUUCCACGUGUAGCAGUGAAAUGCGUAGAGAUGUGGAGGAAUACCGAUGGCGAAGGCAGCCCCCUGGGAUAACACUGACGCUCAUGCACGAAAGCGUGGGGAGCAAACAGG
This 252-nucleotide ribosomal RNA is filed under the name uncultured bacterium. RNAcentral describes it as "partial 16S ribosomal RNA". It matches the Rfam family "Bacterial small subunit ribosomal RNA", at positions 524 to 776 of the family's 1533-position model. The record is from RNAcentral.